This 170-nucleotide ribosomal RNA is filed under the name Acanthurus maculiceps. RNAcentral describes it as "partial 12S rRNA". Lineage: Eukaryota; Metazoa; Chordata; Actinopteri; Acanthuriformes; Acanthuridae. The record is from RNAcentral.
CACCGCGGUUAUACGAGAGACCCAAGUUGACAGACAAUCGGCGUAAAGAGUGGUUAAGUAACACAUUACACUAAAGCCAAACACCUUCAAAGCUGUUAUACGCACCCGAAGAUCAGAAGCCCAAUCACGAAAGUGGCUUUAAAUUAACUGAACCCACGAAAGCUAGGACA